CAGCAGCCGCGGUAAUACGUAGGGUGCGAGCGUUGCCCGGAUUUAUUGGGCGUAAAGGGCGCGCAGGCGGCCACGCACGUCCGUUGUGAAAUCGCUCGGCUCAACUGGGCGGGGUCAGCGGAUACGGCGUGGCUAGAGCAAGCUAGGGGGCAAUGGAAUUCCCGGUGUAGUGGUGGAAUGCGUAGAUAUCGGGAGGAACACCAGUGGCGAAGGCGGUUGCCUGGAGCUUUGCUGACGCUGAGGCGCGGAAGCGUGGGGAGCGAUCCGGAUUAGAUACCCGGGUAGUCCACGCUGUAAACGAUGUCGACUAGGUGUCGGGGGUAUCGACCCCCUCGGCGCCGCAGCUAACGCAUUAAGUCGACCGCCUGGGGACUACGGCCGCAAGGCUAAAACUCAAAGGAAUUGACGG
This 409-nucleotide ribosomal RNA is filed under the name uncultured bacterium. RNAcentral describes it as "bacterial SSU rRNA". It matches the Rfam family "Bacterial small subunit ribosomal RNA", at positions 509 to 916 of the family's 1533-position model. The record is from RNAcentral.